ACGGGUGAGUAACGCGUGGGAAUCUACCCAUCUCUACGGAAUAACGCAUGGAAACGUGUGCUAAUACCGUAUACGUCCUUCGGGAGAAAGAUUUAUCGGAGAUGGAUGAGCCCGCGUUGGAUUAACUAGUUGGUGGGGUAAAGGCCUACCAAGGCGACGAUCCAUAGCUGGUCUGAGAGGAUGAUCAGCCACACUGGGACUGAGACACGGCCCAGACUCCUACGGGAGGCAGCAGUGGGGAAUAUUGGACAAUGGGCGCAAGCCUGAUCCAGCCAUGCCGCGUGAGUGAUGAAGGCCCUAGGGUUGUAAAGCUCUUUCACCGGUGAAGAUAAUGACGGUAACCGGAGAAGAAGCCCCGGCUAACUUCGUGCCAGCAGCCGCGGUAAUACGAAGGGGGCUAGCGUUGUUCGGAUUUACUGGGCGUAAAGCGCACGUAGGCGGACUAUUAAGUCAGGGGUGAAAUCCCGGGGCUCAACCCCGGAACUGCCUUUGAUACUGGUAGUCUUGAGUUCGAGAGAGGUGAGUGGAAUUCCGAGUGUAGAGGUG
RNAcentral lists this ribosomal RNA (546 nucleotides) under uncultured bacterium. Its description in RNAcentral is "bacterial SSU rRNA". It matches the Rfam family "Bacterial small subunit ribosomal RNA", at positions 102 to 683 of the family's 1533-position model. The record is from RNAcentral.